GGAGAGGUGGCUGAGUGGCUGAAAGCGACGGUUUGCUAAAUCGUUGUACGGAUUAAUACCCGUACCGGGGGUUCGAAUCCCCCCCUCUCCG
Molecule: transfer RNA, 91 nt
Filed under: cyanobacterium TDX16
Lineage: Bacteria; Bacillati; Cyanobacteriota
Also listed under: 2 other names
Description: tRNA-Ser
Rfam family: tRNA
About the family: Transfer RNA (tRNA) molecules are approximately 80 nucleotides in length. Their secondary structure includes four short double-helical elements and three loops (D, anti-codon, and T loops).
Source: RNAcentral